GUUUCAAUUAAGUCCAAUUAAGUCCCUUAUCUUCUAUUCUUUGUUCCGAGAUGGUCAAUAUGGUCCAUUUAUUGUUUCGAAAUAAACCCUUGUGUUCCAAAAGUUAUACCAAUGUACCAUUUUGAAACACAAUUCAAACAAAAAAGACCACAUUGAAACUAAAAAGUAAGAUAAGGGAAAAAAUGUAUUUUAGCCAUCUUUUUACUAUAGAAUUUUCUGGUAACUCUGGUUCAUUGUGUGUUAGCAUAACUAGUAAGGAGAACUUUUACUGAUAUGCCAAAGUCAGUAUUUGUAUCCCUUGGAAUCCUGUGACUGAAUGCAUUCAUAUUUGGAGAUACUGAAAUAGUUUUGAUAUGUUGAAAUUUGUGUCUCAUGGAUGAAAAGUUUUUCUCCUUAAAAAUUACUAGUUGGGAGAGUUUGUAGAAAUUUGAGAUUGCUGAAAAUAUAUUCUGGUUGUACUAAAUGGAUUUAUUUUGAACCUACAUAUUUAGAUAUGUUGGAAGUUAUUAGAGAUUAGUUCAGAAUCAGCAUAUUCUAUUUUUUGUGCAGCUCAUAACACUGACUGUAAAUAAUAAUUAGUUGUUUCCUUAUUUAGAAUUAGCAUUUAUAGGAAGAAUAAUUGCCCUGAUUCUCAGACUAGAUUAGUGCUUACUGGUCUGUCAAUUGUAUUCUAUAUAUACCUUUCAUGUAUUAUUCACUAAAUUAUCAAAGAAAUACAGAUUGUUUAUUUCUUUAUGGUAUCAGUUGCAGGAAGAAUUCCUUAGGGUUUUUUUUUUUGCUUCCGUUUCCUUUUUUCCAUCCCACAUAAUGUCUGAUGACUUGUCUGAUACUGAGUCCCAGUCUUUACCCAAACAUUCUUCACUUAAAUCUGAAAUACCACAACCUGUCAAGACAUACCAUGAAAAUCACCCUGUUCAGAUCACAACAAUUCGGCUGAAAGGCGGAUCUAAUUAUUUUCGCUGGUCACAGUCUGUCCGUUUGUAUCUCAGGGGGAGAGGAAAAAUUGGCUACAUCACUGGAGACAAGAAACAACCAGACAAGGAAAGCGCAGACUAUGAGACUUGGGAUGCCGAAAAUUCCAUGGUCAUGACUUGGUUAGUCAAUUCCAUGACUGAAGAGAUAGGUGCAAACUAUCUCUGUUAUGCUACUGCAAAAGAUCUUUGGGAAGGUGUCGCUGAGAUGUACUCUGAUUUGGACAACCAAUCCCAAAUUUAUGAAUUAACUCUCCAGCUUGGAGAAAUUCGGCAAGCUGACGAUUCUGUCACCAAAUACUUCAAUUGUCUCAAGCGUAUUUGGCAAGAUCUGGAUUUGUUCAAUGUAUAUGAGUGGAAGUCAACCGAGGACUGCAAGCACUACAAGAAGAUGGUGGAUGUUAGUCGUGUCUUCAAGUUUCUUGCAGGUCUAAAUAUUGAGUUUGAUGAGGUUCGUGGCCGGAUUCUUGGCAGGAAUCCUAUCCCUCCAAUUGGUGAAGUCUUUGCUGAAGUGCGUCGCGAAGAGAGUCGUAGGCAAGUGAUGCUUGGAAAAAAAGCAGUCAUUGUCCCUCCACCAGUCGAAGGAUCUGCCUUGGCUGUUCCUCAAGUCAAUCACAAAUCUUUCCCUCCACGAGGUGAUGACAAGGACCGUUUAGUUUGCGACUACUGUGGUAAAAAUCGUCACACUCGGCAAGGUUGUUUCAAACUACAUGGUAGGCCAAACAAUAGAAAGACUGGUAAGCUUGGUGACCGCCCUGCGUCUUCGACCAAUGAAGCUAACUCGUCUCCAUUUACUAAGGAGCAGAUGGAUCACCUUUUUAAACGUCUAAAGUUCAAUUCAUCACCUAAUGUUCCUGUUGGAACUGUGGCACAAACAGGACCAGAACUCGGGGAAGAUGAUUGGAACUGCUAGAGAGAUGAAUGGACUGUACUACUUUGAUGAAACUCCUCUUGGAAAUACAACGGCUUGUGGUUUAAACAGUGCAAGUUCACCUCUCGUUUCAGAUCAAGUUAUGUUAUGGCACAAAAGAUUAGGUCAUCCUAGUUUCCCUUAUCUUAAGUAUUUGUUUCCUAAAUUUGCAAAAGAAAUAAAUUCCUCACAGUUUCAUUGUGAAGCUUGUCACUUAGCUAAAGAUCACCGUGUGUCUUUUACUUCAAAAGUUUAUUCUGCUUCGCAACCUUUUUAUUUAAUUCAUAGUGAUGUUUGGGGGCCUUCAAAAAUUAAAACUAUGUCUGGAAAAAAAUGGUUUGUGACAUUUAUUGAUGAUCAUACACGUGUGUGUUGGGUUUAUCUCUUGGAAAAAAAAUCAGAAGUGGAACAACGGUUUAAAGAUUUUUUUUCAAAUGAUUGAAAACCAAUUUCAAACUAAGAUUGGCAUUCUAAGGUCUGACAAUGGCACUGAAUAUUUCAACAAAUAUUUAAGUACAUUCCUAGUAACUAAGGGGAUAAUACAUCAAUCCACUUGUCGUGAUACUCCACAACAAAACGGUGUUGCUGAAAGAAAAAAUAGACAUCUCCUCGAAGUUACUAGAGCUAUUAUGUUUUCUAUGAAUGUACCUAAAUAUCUUUGGGGAAAUGCCUUAUUAACUGCUUGUUACCUCAUAAAUAGAAUGCCAUCUCGUGUUUUAAAAUAUGAGACUCCUGUGGAGGUUUUACAAAAUUAUUUUCCCAUGUCUCGCAUCAUUGCGGAUCUUCCCCUUAAAGUUUUUGGUUGUCUCUGUUAUGUCUACAUCCCAAAUAUUUUUCGUUCUAAAUUGGAUCCUAAAGCUGAAAAAUGUGUUUUUCUUGGCUAUGCUUCAAAUAAAAAGGGUUACAAAUGUUUUAACCCAGUAACAAAGAAAUUUUUUGAAAGUAUGGAUGUCCACUUUGUUGAAAAUCAGCCUUUUUUUGAUAAAAAUUCUCUUCAGGGGGAGAAUCAUUGUACUAAUAACGAAGAUAAUUUUUGGGAAACUUUACCUGCAUUGGAUGAUAUUGUAACUAUAAAUAAUCCAGAUGCAAAGAUAAUGGAACCUAGAAUGCUUAAUCUUGAAUUGCCGGAAAAUAUAGUAUCUGAAACAGGGGGACAAACACUGAUUAAGGAUCAUACUCCUCAACUUCAAGUGUAUGUCCGAAAAAAGUUUCAACAAGGUAUUACAGAUCCAAUUGUCUCUCCGGCAGAAAUCCAAUCUGAUUUACCAAGUGAAGGUCCUACAGAAAUUUUACCUUCUAGUUCUUCAUCUGGUGUGUUGUGGCAUAUGCUUCAGAUCUAAUAUUUCUUCAAGUAAGUUUGAAUCCACAUCGUGGGAAAGGUUUCAGGGCACGUGGUGUUAGUCUGGAUCAUGC
This is an RNA transcript of Trifolium pratense (red clover), 3294 nucleotides long. It is a transcript of the gene named acyl-CoA thioesterase 2-like, with no coding region annotated. The transcript is spliced from 3 exons. NCBI's taxonomy places the organism in Eukaryota, Viridiplantae, Streptophyta, Magnoliopsida, Fabales, Fabaceae. The record is from RefSeq and is a predicted model, not a curated record.